CCCUUUGAAAAAAACAGUUGCUCUCUCUCAUUCCCUCUCUCUCGCCCUCUAGCUGGAGUCAAAGUCCGGUGAACAAGCCGUCGUACGCCCCUUCCGGUCACCGUCACCGGCCACCGAACUCCGAAGGUAUAUUUUUUUAUAUUUUUUUUGUAUUUUUUAUGUGCUUAUGAUAUAUGUAUAUAUGUGUGGGGUUAGAUUCAAAAAUAGAAAGAAAAGAAAAAAGCAAAAUAAAUAAAAUAAAUAAGAUCACCUUAGGUUUUUUGGUUUUUGAUUUUGGUAUUUUGAGUCUCUGAUAUGGGAUUAUUCUCCUGAUUUGUUAUUACUGAGAUCACUGCUUUUGUAUGUGGUUAGAUCUGAAGAAGUUGUCAAGUGUUUUUGUAUUUGCUAAGAGAAAAUGCCGAAUCCUUUUAUGAUUUUGGCCCUAGCUUUUAAAGCCAAGUUACAUGCUAUAUAUUUUUUUAUCAUUAUCUGUCCCCUCUCUUCCUUUAAUUUUGCAGGUGCAAGUGGAGCGGUGGCACAGUGGCGGUGGGACAAGUGGUGAUGGGACAAGGAGCAGUUGGCCGAACGGCUGACAAGGCUAGGGUUUUUUUAGUUUUGUUUUUUUUUUGUUUUGCUUUGUGUUUGGGUUGAGCUAGGGUUGAAAUUAAUUUUGGGUUUGUUUUGGGUUUUGGCUAUUGAGCUGUAAAUUGGGUUUGGGUUAAUGGGUUUUGGUUUUGGGUAAGUAGUUGGGUUUAUUUCGGGCCAAAAUUGGGCCUCAACACAUUUCAUUUCAUAUUCAUUACAAAUUACAUUUAAUUUAAUAUUCAUAUUUCAUUUAACAUUUCAUUUUAUUAACUUUUUUAUUUAAAUUUAUUAUUUUUUCCUAAUAUACAAUUUUUUUCAUAUUAAUCACAACUAGUAUCAUUUCAAGUUAUAUUUCUUUCCAUUU
RNAcentral lists this long non-coding RNA (928 nucleotides) under Gossypium barbadense (sea-island cotton). RNAcentral's name for it is "long non-coding RNA (GBAR_LNC002901)". Lineage: Eukaryota; Viridiplantae; Streptophyta; Magnoliopsida; Malvales; Malvaceae. The record is from RNAcentral.